This 253-nucleotide ribosomal RNA is filed under the name uncultured bacterium. RNAcentral's name for it is "partial 16S ribosomal RNA". It matches the Rfam family "Bacterial small subunit ribosomal RNA", at positions 524 to 776 of the family's 1533-position model. The record is from RNAcentral.
UACGUAGGGUGCAGGCGUUAAUCGGAAUUACUGGGCGUAAAGCGUGCGCAGGCGGUCUUUUAAGUCAGAUGUGAAAUCCCCGGGCUUAACCUGGGAACUGCGUUUGAAACUGGAAGGCUAGAGUGUGGCAGAGGGGGGUGGAAUUCCACGUGUAGCAGUGAAAUGCGUAGAUAUGUGGAGGAACACCGAUGGCGAAGGCAAUCCCCUGGACCUGUACUGACGCUCAUGCACGAAAGCGUGGGGAGCAAACAGG